RNAcentral lists this ribosomal RNA (730 nucleotides) under uncultured bacterium. RNAcentral's name for it is "bacterial SSU rRNA". It matches the Rfam family "Bacterial small subunit ribosomal RNA", at positions 771 to 1501 of the family's 1533-position model. The record is from RNAcentral.
AACAGGAUUAGAUACCCUGGUAGUCCACGCCGUAAACGAUGUCGACUUGGAGGUUGUGCCCUUGAGGCGUGGCUUCCGGAGCUAACGCGUUAAGUCGACCGCCUGGGGAGUACGGCCGCAAGGUUAAAACUCAAAUGAAUUGACGGGGGCCCGCACAAGCGGUGGAGCAUGUGGUUUAAUUCGAUGCAACGCGAAGAACCUUACCUGGUCUUGACAUCCACAGAACUUUCCAGAGAUGGAUUGGUGCCUUCGGGAACUGUGAGACAGGUGCUGCAUGGCUGUCGUCAGCUCGUGUUGUGAAAUGUUGGGUUAAGUCCCGCAACGAGCGCAACCCUUAUCCUUUGUUGCCAGCGGUCCGGCCGGGAACUCAAAGGAGACUGCCAGUGAUAAACUGGAGGAAGGUGGGGAUGACGUCAAGUCAUCAUGGCCCUUACGACCAGGGCUACACACGUGCUACAAUGGCGCAUACAAAGAGAAGCGACCUCGCGAGAGCAAGCGGACCUCAUAAAGUGCGUCGUAGUCCGGAUUGGAGUCUGCAACUCGACUCCAUGAAGUCGGAAUCGCUAGUAAUCGUGGAUCAGAAUGCCACGGUGAAUACGUUCCCGGGCCUUGUACACACCGCCCGUCACACUAUGGGAGUGGGUUGCAAAAGAAGUAGGUAGCUUAACCUUCGGGAGGGCGCUUACCACUUUGUGAUUCAUGACUGGGGUGAAGUCGUAACAAGGUAACC